AACAGGAUUAGAUACCCUGGUAGUCCACGCCGUAAACGAUGUCGACUUGGAGGUUGUUCCCUUGAGGAGUGGCUUCCGGAGCUAACGCGUUAAGUCGACCGCCUGGGGAGUACGGCCGCAAGGUUAAAACUCAAAUGAAUUGACGGGGGCCCGCACAAGCGGUGGAGCAUGUGGUUUAAUUCGAUGCAACGCGAAGAACCUUACCUACUCUUGACAUCCAGAGAACUUAGCAGAGAUGCUUUGGUGCCUUCGGGAACUCUGAGACAGGUGCUGCAUGGCUGUCGUCAGCUCGUGUUGUGAAAUGUUGGGUUAAGUCCCGCAACGAGCGCAACCCUUAUCCUUUGUUGCCAGCGAUUCGGUCGGGAACUCAAAGGAGACUGCCGGUGAUAAACCGGAGGAAGGUGGGGAUGACGUCAAGUCAUCAUGGCCCUUACGAGUAGGGCUACACACGUGCUACAAUGGCGCAUACAAAGAGAAGCGACCUCGCGAGAGCAAGCGGACCUCACAAAGUGCGUCGUAGUCCGGAUCGGAGUCUGCAACUCGACUCCGUGAAGUCGGAAUCGCUAGUAAUCGUGGAUCAGAAUGCCACGGUGAAUACGUUCCCGGGCCUUGUACACACCGCCCGUCACACCAUGGGAGUGGGUUGCAAAAGAAGUAGGCAGCUUAACCUUCGGGAGGGCGCUUACCACUUUGUGAUUCAUGACUGGGGUGAAGUCGUAACAAGGUAACC
This 730-nucleotide ribosomal RNA is filed under the name uncultured bacterium. RNAcentral's name for it is "bacterial SSU rRNA". It matches the Rfam family "Bacterial small subunit ribosomal RNA", at positions 771 to 1501 of the family's 1533-position model. The record is from RNAcentral.